UGGGACGGCCAUAGCGACCUGGAUCACCCGUUCCCAUCUCGAACACGGAAGUUAAGCAGGUCCACGUGGCGCCUUGUACUG
RNAcentral lists this ribosomal RNA (81 nucleotides) under Thermoproteota archaeon. Lineage: Archaea; Thermoproteati; Thermoproteota. The record is from RNAcentral.